UGCAGAGCCCAACUCGGGGCUCGAACCCACGAACCAUGAGAUCACGACCUGAGCCGAAGUCGGACGCUCAACGGACUGAGCCAUCCAGGCACCCCACGAUCUGUGUGCUUUAACUCAAGGAAGGCGGCCUCCAGCAUAGUUUCCUAGUUACUGCUUGGAUAAAUGGGGCACCGAUAGGCCUAUCUACAACCUUCCACACUAUGGCGAAAAAGCUGCUCAACUCACUCCCCCAUUUUUACUGUCCACUUCCUGUGGACGGCUUCCCUCAGCUUCGAGCCUGGAUCCAGUGCCCAGCAUAUGAAGACGCCUCCUCACCUGUGCUGAGCUGGGCCGGUGAGAGAACGACAGGGGUCUGAGCAGACCGUGCUGCCUCGCGCAAGCCUCUGCCGUUCUCGCCACCUCUGCACCUGCUCUCCUGACCCCUUAGGACCACAUCCUCCCAGGGGGCAGAGAGGGGCUCCGGCCGGGGAACGAGUCCCACCUCCCACCAUUGCGGUCCAAAGGUGCAUCACCUUUGCAGAGGAGAAAGCCGAGGCACCGUGAGGUUUGGUGACCUGCCCAAGGGACGCGCCCCCAGGUAAGCGAUGGGGGCUUUGUCUCCAGACGGUCUGGCCCUGCACAGCGUCACCUUCACAAAGAGAGGCCCGUCCUGCCCACCAUCCACUGUCGCGAGAGGACAACGGACGGGGAAGGAGGAGGCAACGGAGGUCCGGCCACCCACCUGGCUGCUGGGACCCGGCCUUUCAUCCUCGGAGCCUCCUGGUCCCCGCCCUGAGGGGCGGCAGAAACACAGCUGGAGUGAAGCUGUCACCGGCCCCCUUAAGUGAGUGUCCCCCAACCCAUCCAGAAACAGCCACGCCUGUCGCUGCGACGAAACGGGAAGUAUGUUUAGUAACAGAUCAGACGAUUCCCUCCAAAGUAGGGAAAAUAAUAUUAAAGUGGAGAGGCUUUCUUAUUAAGGGAGCCUACCUCACCUGCCCGGCUUGAAACUGUGCCCCUGUUGUCUCUGGAACAAAACCACACUCACGUCGGGGUUCCCGGCUUCCACAUUUCAGGGGCUGGGGGCACGGAAACAGCCUGAUGGAGUUUGGGGAAAUUACUCGCUUCCUGCGAGUUUUCCUUUACCCCAGACCCCAUAAACGGAUGGAUGCUGCUGGUGUUUGUUUUAACCAGACCGUCUGAGACCUGAAGACACACGGGCAGGUCUGGAUUUCACUGUCAUGAGCCUUUUUUGCAGACUCCUCUGAGGAGGGGCACAGCCGCUCCCGGGUGAAGCAGGGGCUGGGGGGGUCUCUGAACCCCAAGAUGGAGUGGCCCCCGAGUAGCGGCUGUUACUCGCCUGCGGCCCCCGUGUGGUCUGUGCUCUACAGGAAACGGGCACUCGUGAGCGUCUCUCCCAGCCGUCCUGCUUCUGGGGUCACAUUCACCCAGCCUCCAACGACCUUGCCUCAGAAACAGCCCUCCUGACAUUGGCCUCAUCCACAGCUGCUGCAAAAUUGAAGUUUAAACGAAAGGGGAAGGACACCUGCAGGGCUGGGGGCCGGGGAGCCUUUGAAGUGUGGGUGCCGAGCGCUUUGCCACCUUUCGGGUGGCAAAUGGGUUUUCCUUCAGAGAAAAUCAAAUCCUUUGAGAGGGUGCCUGACCAGAGAAGAUGGGGACCGAGGUGUGGGCCGCCGUUCCAGACGGGAACCAGCUCCCCGGGUAGUGACGCUCGGCCGAGGAAGCACUACCCAGCCCUGCCCGCCUCUGCUGACCCCCUCCCCCACGACCGUCCCCACACCGAGUGGACGGCUUUGCUGCAGAGCUGGCUGAGUGCACCCUCCUUGCAGCGUCCAAAUCGGAACGUGGCCUAUAGAUGCAGUGUUUGCCCAGGUCCCGGAGGUGCCCCGCAGGGUCUCCGCGGCACCUGGAGGCUGCGCGUCCAGCAGGCUUUUCCCCUACAGCCGGCCCAGUUCCGAUGACCCCCGGGAGCGGGGCAUCCUGAGGGCAGGCCCUCCCUCGGUCACGUGUCACGAGUGGCCGGACGAGGAGUAGAGAAACACCCACAGCCGUGGGGUGAGAGCACCCGAUCUGUGUUAUCACCUGUGCCAGCCACGUGUGGGUCUCUUUUCCCCUGGUGGCCCCUCGGGCGGACCCAGGAUGAGCCGGUGUCCCCGCUCCUCCCCGGGAGCACCUGCGGCCUCACCUGCAGACUCUCAGCACACCGCCCCCCCCCCAACCUUGGGGUCCGCACUUCCUGAAGGGCCUGAAGAGCCUGAAGGGCUGCGGGAAGACUGUGUUCGGCAGUAACCCUGGAGCGUCUGACUUCAUCUGACUUUCAGGACUCGUGAUGAGCGGUCCCCACCCCUGGGUGGUCUGAGCGGUGUGCCGAGAACCUGGGGUCUGGAGGGGACGCACUCGCUUCAGCGUGUCACGUCCCAGACCAGGCGCCGAGAAGAGAGCGGGACGGGCCUCCCCGGCUAGUGGUCUGGCUCCCGCUGGCUCCGGCCCCAGAGGACACAGCCUUGCCCCAUGUCACAUUUUGGGGUCUCUAGCCUGCCCCUCCCUUAGAGGAGGGGAGAGGACUGCGCGGGGUGGGGGGGGGGGCUGGACAGACCACAGUUGUACUGGGGCGACAGUGUCCCGCCCCCUCACGUCCUUCCCAGACCCUCAGGGGUCUUUGCACCUGUCGUUAGUCAUCCUGGAGCAGGGUGGCCCUGUAGACGUUGACCGGAGGAGAGGAGGACACAGAGACAUCCAGAGAGGAAGGCCACAUAACGAGGGAGGUGGAGGCCGGGCCGAGCAUCCACAAGCGGGGACCAGGGAGGCCUGCAGGCUCCCCCGGAGGCCCGAAGAGGCAGGGGGCCUCCCCUGCAGGUGCCAGCUUAGCCGGGAUCUAAGGCUGGGAGAGAGUCCACUUCUGCCGCUCAAGCCCCCGGCCUGUGGGACCCUGUUUCUGCAGACUCCGCAGGAGGAGGGGGGUGGGGCGUGGCAGGCCGGGUGGCAGCCAGGCCGGGGACACAGGAGCCCCCCUCCCGCUGCGAUGUCACGGUGCUGUUCCCGAUGCCCGUGUGUCCUCGUCCGUCUGCCCGUGUGUCCUCGUCCGUCUGCCCUGACGAGGGGGCCGGCAGGGCCCACGCGGGACCAGGGUGUGCUGGGCUGUGAGGGUGCGGGAAACUCCCUCCGCCCUUUCCUUCCGUCUGGUCCCAGCCCCCACCCAAGAACAUCCGCCUGGGCUGCUGCGUGUUCCAGAAGCUUCCGUGUGGGCUGCGGUGUGGCGAAGGCCGAGGGAGGGGAUGAGAGCCAGGCCUGGAAAGAAGCCGCUGCCUACACUCCCGGGACCCCGAGGGGUGGCCACGUGC
This is a long non-coding RNA of Felis catus (domestic cat), 3341 nucleotides long. RefSeq lists it as uncharacterized. The record is from RefSeq and is a predicted model, not a curated record. Lineage: Eukaryota; Metazoa; Chordata; Mammalia; Carnivora; Felidae. The transcript has 4 exons.